This 1080-nucleotide unclassified non-coding RNA is filed under the name Hevea brasiliensis (rubber tree). Lineage: Eukaryota; Viridiplantae; Streptophyta; Magnoliopsida; Malpighiales; Euphorbiaceae. The record is from RNAcentral.
GUUUGCAAGCGGAGACUUUACUGGUGGGAUGUUGCUCACUGCCUUCUGAAGCAUGACCGUUAUCAUCAAUUGCACUGUCCACAUGUGGUAUGUCAGCAUCGUUUUCUAGGAGUUCUCCACUCAACAAGAAUUGUGGUGGCAGACGAUAUCCCUUGAAGCGACAAAAGGCAACUAACUGAGCUCGAGCAAUAGUGAGAUCCAAUCUAUCAGCCCGACAAGUUGGUGAUAGGGCUAAUGCUUUCAUAUAGUGCAGGAGCUUAUCAGGUACAAAGGAAGUGACUCCAGUUGAUUUGUCCACUCCAUAUCUUUUGCUUGCUUCUUCACGAAUCCCAGUGUUCUCCACAAUCUGACAUGAAAUCUCAUCAUAGGAAUCUUUAGGCGUGCAUGAGCAAGCAAGGCCAAGUUCAACCCGUCUUGAAACCUCUUCUAAAGCACUGCUUAUAGCGUUUUGAAAUGUUUCUGAAUUACUUUGCUUCUCAAUCUGAGAGAAAUAAGAACAGAAUGGCCUCAACACAGAUGCAUCAUUCCAAGCAAAAGUUCGAUCACCAAAAUAAGCUACCAAAAAACCAUCUUUCUUAUGGUACUUGAUAGCCUUUUCUGAAGCAUCAGAAGGAUCAAAUAUCUGUCCAGGCCACCAAGGAUGGCUUCUAACCUUUCCCCAGACUAAAUCAGAAAUAGAGUAGUCGCCCUCAUUUUCUGGUGGAAUAAGAUAACCAGGAUGCAUAUUCAACAAGCUCACAGGCUUCUCACUAAACAUCAGUGUGUGGCUUGUCUCGGAUACAACUUCUUCAGUUCCUUUGUCUUGCUCUGGAGAUUCUUGCACAGUACCAGGAUUUAGUUUCUUAACUUCACCUUUCUCAUGCUCAUCUGUAACCUUCAUUAUUUCUGGAGCAUGAUGGAAAACAAGAUCCUCAGUUGCCUUGAAAGAGUCCUGGUCCUCAUUGACUUGAUUCAUCUUGGUAUCGCUGGCAUCAAAAAUACAAGUUCCUACAAUUUGAUCACUAACUGGAGGGACAUCAUCACCAAAAUUUAUAGCAACCCCAGAUUUUAUAGCAUCCUCUAAAUUAGAGUUGUUCUCUU